UUUUACCGUUAGAGAAUUAACUCUAACGUUAGUUAGCUAGCAACCUAGGCUUUUGCAUGAGACACACGGUGUGGAAUCAUGAAUUUAUGUGGGAAGCUGUUAUUCUUAUUAAGUGUUUGUUCAGUUUGUCUAAUUUUGUACCUCGGUGUUUUAGAAGAAAGUGCUUUCCAUCUGGACAUUGAUUGUGGUAACAGAACAGAGAUAAAAGUUGGUAACAAGACCAGUCGUCAUAAACGUUUUAUUGGGGCGGCCAAGACGCUUUACCUGUUGACAUCAGUAGAUGGCCGUGGGUGGUUUCCCUACAGUACAGAUCCAGUGACUUGCAGCCAUUUCAGCAACGCUGCUCAGGAGUAAUCAUUAAACGAGGAUGGAUAUUGACAGCAGCAGAAUGUUUCUAUAAGUUUGAAUACAGAAAUCUAAGUAACUGGAGGGUGAAAUCUGGGACGUCGAACUUGACUGCUGAUGGCAAGUACACACAGACAUCCUCAAUCAAUGCAAUUGUUUUGCAUAAAGAUUACAAACAUAUAACCUCGGUAAACGACAUUGCAAUAGUGAAGCUGGAAACGCCACUGGUAUUCGAUGACUAUGUUAAUCGUGUCUGCAUACCUGACGCAACAAAUGUGGAGGAGUACAAGUAUGGAAGGUGCUACGUUGCUGGUUACGAUGAACGUCCUGGUCCUGAGCAUGGAAUUUUGAGAUCGGACCUAGCGAGCGUAUUUCCACAGCGAUUGUGUAACAAGCGUACAUGGCUGAACUUCAAAGUGGCUGCAGAUAUGAUGUGUGCAGGCCGAGGUUCUGGUUUAGUGGCUGGAUGUGCGAAGGAUAUAGGUGGACCCCUCAGCUGCUACCUCCCUAACACUGCUAGAUACUACGUCAAAGGGAUUCGGAUAAGUGCUGACAAGUGUGGAGUUAUCAGGAGGCCCAAUAUUUUUCUUAAAGUUAGCGUACAUUACCACUGGAUUGCAAGACAAAUUGAAAAUUUCAAGUCUUCAAAAUGUUAAUUAUUAAUUGUCAUCAGUCAUGACAUUGUAAAAGCACCUUUAGGGGUAUUAAAUGUUUGAAAUACAUUAACUGGUUAGAAUUUUAAAGCCAUGUUUGUCUCAACAUAAACUGUACAUUUUAAUAAAAUUUUAAUGGAUGUCCUAA
Molecule: long non-coding RNA, 1146 nt
Organism: Clupea harengus (Atlantic herring)
Lineage: Eukaryota; Metazoa; Chordata; Actinopteri; Clupeiformes; Clupeidae
Exons: 5
Source: RefSeq, a predicted model, not a curated record